This 320-nucleotide ribosomal RNA is filed under the name uncultured eukaryote. RNAcentral's name for it is "partial 18S ribosomal RNA". It matches the Rfam family "Eukaryotic small subunit ribosomal RNA", at positions 1470 to 1796 of the family's 1831-position model. The record is from RNAcentral.
CCCUUAGAUGUUCUGGACCGCACGCGCGCUACACUGAUGCAUUCAACGAGUUCUUCCUGGUCCGAGAGGAAUGGGUAACCUUUUGAAAGUGCAUCGUGCUAGGGAUAGACUAUUGCAAUUAUUGGUCUUCAACGAGGAAUUCCUAGUAGACGUAGUUCAUCAGACUGCAUCGAUUACGUCCCUGCCCUUUGUACACACCGCCCGUCGCUCCUACCGAUUGGAUGAUCCGGUGAGCUAUUCGGACCUGUGCAUUUUCCAUUGGAACUUGCGUGGGAAAGUCUCGCGAACCUUAUCAUCUAGAGGAAGGAGAAGUCGUAACA